GUGCUCACUUUGACAGCACAUACACUAAAAUUGGAAUGAUACAGAGAAGAUUAGCAUGGUCCCUGCACAAGGAUGACACGCAAAUUCAUGAAGCAUUACAUAUUUUU
Pan paniscus (pygmy chimpanzee) is the source of this 107-nucleotide small nuclear RNA. The record is from Ensembl. Lineage: Eukaryota; Metazoa; Chordata; Mammalia; Primates; Hominidae.